Molecule: ribosomal RNA, 774 nt
Filed under: uncultured Neocallimastigales
Lineage: Eukaryota; Fungi; Neocallimastigomycota; Neocallimastigomycetes; Neocallimastigales
Description: partial large subunit ribosomal RNA
Rfam family: Eukaryotic large subunit ribosomal RNA
Source: RNAcentral
AGAGAGAGACAUGCGCGCAUAUCAAUAAGCGGAGGAAAAGAAACUAACAAGGAUUCCCCUAGUAACGGCGAGUGAAGCGGGAAGAGCUCAAAUUUGAAAUCUUAAAGGGUUUCCCUUUACGAAUUGUAGUUUAAAGAAGUGUUUUCUGUUGAGGUUUUGGUAAAAGUUCUUUGGAAUAGGACAUCAUAGAGGGUGAGAAUCCCGUAUUUGACCUUUACUUUCAACUUUGUGAUACACUUUCAAGGAGUCGGAUUGUUUGGGAAUGCAGUCCAAAAUGGGUGGUAAAUUUCAUCUAAAGCUAAAUAUUGGCGAGAGACCGAUAGCGAACAAGUACCGUGAGGGAAAGAUGAAAAGAACUUUGAAAAGAGAGUUAAACAGUACGUGAAAUUGUCAAAAGGGAAGCGUUUGACACCAGUGUUGUUUUUCUGAAAAUCAAUUAAAGAACUGUUUAUGCUAAGCUGUUUAGACUUUAUCAGCUAACUGUUUAGUUUUGAGCUUUUCUUUAAUGCACUUUUCAGUUAACAAGUCAACAUCAAUUUCUUUUGCUGUAAAAAAGCUUGAGGAAGGUGGCUUGAGAUUCGUCUUAAGUGUUUAUAGCCUCUUGCCUAUGCAGUCGGAGAGAUUGAGGUCUGCAGCGUAGAUCCUUCGGGGCUAAAUGCAUUUGUGCUAAGUUAUAGCAUUUUAUAGACAACUUGUUGACUAUGAUUUGUCUUGUAGCUUACUCGCUUAUGUUAUUUUACCUACGCUUAGGAUGUUGAGCGCAUGUCUCUCUCU